UUUCAUUACAAUUAACGCUCGACAGUCCACUCUUUCACACACUCUCUAGAUUUCUUCUUUCUUUCUCUCUCCUCUUCGUCGUCGCUCCGGCGCUCCAACGGGAAGUUCGGGGAGGGUUUGGUGUGGCGGUGGGAGCUGGAUUUGGGCCGGAAGUUUUAGGAAUUGCGAGAUUCUUGAACUGGGUUUGUACGGACAAGUCAUGGUUGGGUUAGGGUUUUGAGGCUGAGAAGUGGUGGUCACUCUGUUGGAGGACUCAUUGUUUCUUCAAUUCAUAGCGAUUUUCUGUAUUGCAAGGGAAAAUGGAAUAUUAGAGGGUGGAUCUGUUCCGAAGGAUGAUGUUUCAGUGCCAGGGUCUCUUAUGCGAGCUUAAAAUAUUCUGAUGAUUUGUUUUUUGAAUGCGAAAUUGGAUAUAGAUGUAUGAGAAUUAGAUAAGGUCUUGCUGGGCUGUGUUUGGUUGAUAUAGAUUGCACUUGGUUAAACAGUGAAAACUCAAUUGAAACAUCAAAGAAAUGUUUAAAUCUCAAAUUUAGUGCAUUUGGGUAUGAUUUGCUUGUGUGUGAGGGAAAGGAGUUCAGUUAGUUUAUACUGUUGGAAUUGAUGAGUAAAAUGUGGGGGUUUGGUUGUGUUGUUAGAUAAAUCUACCUUGAGUUGGUGAUUCAGUCCUUCUGGUUGGUUAACCACAGAACUAGAGGUGUGCUAUCUGCAGAUAGAGACAUUUAAUAUAUUGAUUAAGAAUUGGUGUGACUGACAUUCAAUACUGGGUUUGUUAAUUAGAUAAUAGUGUUAGUGGCUUUUGAACCAUGAUUUGCUGGGGUUAGCUAUGGCAUGAUUUGAGGACUUUCAAAUGGUCACCAGAUCUAUUUGCAGAAAAACAUUUGUUACAUCCUGAGACAAAGUGGCUGUGAUGUUGCUCAUGUGUUGAGGAAAGAGAUAGCAUUCUAUGCAUCAGUUAUCUGAAUGUUGAUAUACAUCUUUCUUGAAUGGACUAUGAAAUUCUCUUCAAUUUUAUAUUCACCUACAGGGUCACUUGUUUAUUACCAUGGAAUUGAAAUGUCAAUAUGCACCAUGCUAUCAUCUUGCAUGGAUGCCAUGCUGUCAAUGGAUUAGUUAUUGAGGUUAGCAACUUUAUGUGAUGGUGAAAACCAGUCUCGUGCCCUAAGGUUUAUUAGUGUUCUCUACUAUUUCAUUUAUAUUGACAAUUCAAUGCACAGGAUACAAAAUCUGUCCAAUUUUUUUUUUAAAAACAAAUAAGAUAUUUCAUUAGAAUUUCAUGGAAUUUUCAACAUCAGUCUUGUAACCACUUUCAAACCUUGUACUUAGAAUAACAUAACGCCAUCAACAAAAAUAGUAGGCUUGAUAUGUAUAUAAAAGUUGUUUGAAGCUAAAACACAUAUUGCUUGAGUGGAGAUUACCCAGGUAUGGUUACUAUGUCUUCAAUGUUUCCAUUAAAACCUUCUUCUUCUCUGUUUAUCUUCUCUUCACUGCCCUUUGUUGUGCAUGGGUUGGCAAGCUCUGCAACUUAUUGCUCCUAUUCUGCUUUGUGGGUGUCAUUCUCUUGUUGAGCCUCGGACUUUGCAGUUUCGUUUGGAGUCCUACUGGUGUUUAGUCGUUUUUGUCCAUUAUUUAGCACUCCAUUUGCUUCUGUGGAUCUGCUCUUGCUCGUGUAUUUGAGCAUAAGAAUGUCUGUUUCUUGGGUAUGUUGUAAAAGUGUUUGAAAUAUUGAAAAAAUUUCGGGGAUUUUUCUCUGAAAUUUCUCUUAUUGGCCUGCUCUGACACGAUAUUCAUCGGAAAAUUUUGGUAAUUUUUCGGAAAUAUCACUGAUAUAUUUUUACCGAUUUUUUGGGGAAUUUCCCGAUGUUUCCUACCAGUCCAGCCCACGCACAGGAUACAAAAUCUGUCCAUUUUUUUUUAAAAAAACAAAUAAGAUGCUAUUUGGUAAUCUGAUCAUGAUUUGCAGGCAAAGGUUGUGUUCUUCGCCUAGCUCAAAAAUCGUGGAUUUAGGGUACGUGAAAUUUAAAUCCUGUGGCAUAAAAGCAAAGAGACCCCUAGACCAGAUCUAGAAAACACAGGGAGCAAAAUAAAAAAAGCAUUUUUUUUGGUUCUCCUUGGGGUUUUGCAUGGAUUUUCUUGGGAAUCAAACGGGGUUGCAAAAAAAAGAAAAAAGAAAAAAAUAAAUAACAUGAUUAGAUAAGUACCUGCAAGGAUUGAGAGUGGCAGAGGAAAAUAGGGCCUUGAUUCUCUCGUCUGGAGGGCAACUUCAGAAAAGGGCUUCUUGAUGCCUCGAGUGAGAGAAGUGGGUGGCCCUAGACAACUGAUUGUCACAACCUGUUUAAAUGAUUCUUCAAUUGAGCUUUUAUAAGAGUAGGAAGCUUUUAGAACCACUUGGAGUCAUCUAUGUAUCCCUACCAAUGGGGAAGUGUAGAGAAUUUUAGAGAAGCUUGGAGACAUCACUUGUAUGUGAUGUGGAGUAUUAUGGAAUGUUUUAGAAAAUUCAUGGGAACUCUUGUACAUGACUUGUAUGUAACAUUUGUAUAGGGAUUUCUAGAAAAUUUUAUAAAUGUAUAGGGAUUUCUAGAAAAUUUUAUAAAUGUAAGGAGCAGGGUUCCAAAAAGUUCUCUUGGUGCUUAUAAAUUUGUGUUAAACUAAUUUGGUGAAGGUGCUAAGCACUUGAGAGUCUUGCAAAGCUUUCUUGCGUAAAAGCUUCCAUUCUUCCAAACUCUUCAAGUGUGCAUCAUUUGUUUGUCCUCUACCUUAUGAGUAUAAGCAGCAAAGUGUAAGUAGCUUUGCUUAGCAUCGACAGAUAAGACCGGGGAAAGAUUGACUUAGAAACUUUUAAGAGACUUAAUUAUCUAAGUGUAGUAUGCAAGUUUAAGAAAUAUUUAAAGUCUAUGACAAAUGGCAUUAGAGCAUAGUUACGAGUUAAGUAUAACAACAAAGGAAGAAUAAUGAAAACAAUGAAGAAGAGGGUGUGAUCUUUGUAGUUAUGAAUUUUUUUUAUUCAUUUUCUUGAUUCUUGUAUCCAUAUCCUUUAUCAAGAUUGUUUCUAGGAUUUUUUAUUCAUCUUCCGUUUAUUUAUUUAUUUAUUCUAAUUUCCAUUUUUUUAAUUUCAAAUAUGUACCAUUUAUUCCACAUUAAAUCUUCACUACAUCACAUUUAUAAAUUAUUUUAAUCCGUACAUUAAACUUCUUAAUUUUACUUUUAUAAUUAAAGCCUAUUACUCCACUCGGUUAACUUUUUCUUUUAAAACUUUUAUAUUAUUAGGGUUACGUUUGGUAUCAGGAAAAUUUGAGAGAAAAUAUAAGGGAAAGGAAAUAAGGAGAAAAAAUGAAAGGAAAGAAAAAAAAUGAAGGAAAACAAAAAAUAGAUUCAAAGCCAAUAAAUUAUUUUAUAUUUUUUUAAAACUCAUUUUACUUAUUUUCUUUGAUUAUAUAAAAGAUUAAAUGAUUUUAAAAUGUAUAAAUUUCUAAUUAAUUUUAAUUAUAUUUAAUUUUUUAAAUAUUUUUUAUAAUGAAAUCAAAUAGGCAGAAAAUCAUUUUCCUUAAUAAUUUUUUCAGGAAUCAAACAUAACCUAAGUUUUUAAAAUUCUAAAUUAAAUUUGUUGACUUUUGAUUUAUAAAUUAGAAACUGCAUAGAAAUAGGAAAUAAAAUUCGUAUUUGAGUUGAAAUGAAUUUUAUAUUUUAGGUUGAAAAAUUAUAAAGUUGUUUGAUUAAAAGGAUAUUUGAAAACCCAAUUCUUGAAAUUUAACCUCUUACCCUGUUUUCGGUAUCAUUUGGAUAAAAACAUCUUCAUUAUUUUCCUAUAAAAAUAAUUAUCUUUUUUAAAACUUAUAUGUAAAACUUGAAAUGAUAAUGUUUAUGUUAAAAAUGAGUUAUUUUUUAAGAAAAAACAUGAAAAAUAGUUAAAUUCACCAUUUGAAAAUUAUUUCAUAAAAAUUUCUAAUAAAACAUUCUUUAUAACAUAAUAAUAUAUGAGAUAUUUUUGUGUCUAAAGUCAUAUUUAUAAUUUUAUUUUGUGAAAUAUUUUGGGUUUUGAUUCAAACAUUUUUUAUACAAUAAUCAACUCUAAAUCACUUUUUAAAUUAAAUUCAUUUUUUUUUUUGCAAAAAAAUAUUCAAUUUGUUGACUUUGGCCUGACUAUUACAAACUUUUUUAUCCAAUUGUUUCUGUAUGACUUGUGUGUAAUAUAUACAAACUGCAAGAGCAAUGAAGUAAGGAAGUGGAAUCAGGCAGAUUUCUGAGAAUACAUUCCGAAAAUACACAGAGAAUCACAAUAGUGAAGGAGGAAAAAUCCGCUUGCUGAAUGUGUUAACCGGACCGGGAAGGUGUUGACUGGAAGGAUGUGCUUUACUUUCUUUCCUGUCACAGGCACCAUGAUCAAGAAAGUUACGGAAAUUGCAGAAUAGAUUGUCAAAACUGAAAAAGAACUGGGUAGAGAAUUCAGACAAGCAUAUUAAUUCUUUGUGCUAGUGGGUAUAUAAUUUCUUUCUUUGUUUCUUUGCUCUUGUAAAGAUUCCACAGGAGAUGAGGGAUAAGUUUCUAGAGUGGAAGACAUGAAGAAGGAUGAUAAAAAUAAUGACCACUCAGACCCUUCUUUCGAGUCAUUAAAAAAGGCUGUACAAAAAUGCAGAGAAAAUAGGGAGUGUUUAAUGAGACAAAAAGCUCUCCAGAGGGGAUUUCUGGAAGAAGAACCUCAGAAACGUAUGGGAAUCAGCGAUGAUGAGGAAAAGGAGAGAAUCAGGAGAAGUAAUAUUGGGCUCAUCGUUCAAUUGGAAUGGGAGAAGUUGGAAAUGGAGAAGAAACGGAGGAUGGGGCAGAUUGGAAUCGGCCAUGAAGAAGAAGAAGAGGAGCUAAGAAAAACGGAGACUUCCCCAAGAUUUCAAGACUCGAAUAAUUCUAAGAUUGGAGUCGAAGAUUCUGGGCGGAAGAGGAGGAGAUGCAUGGGUGUGAAGGUACUGCAAAUACCAGCUAAGUAGACUUCAACAACAAUAAUAUUCUGGUUUUUUCAUGCAAAGUGUUCUUCAUUCAAUGGUUAUUCUUAGGGUUUCUUCUUUUGGGGUUUUCUGAAAGAUUUGUUCCAGUAUCAGUUUUUGAAGUGGAGAUCUAGCUAUGUCAUGCUGAUUGAUUCUUGGUGAAUAAAUAGUCUGUAGUUUUCAUUAA
Molecule: long non-coding RNA, 5157 nt
Organism: Vitis vinifera (wine grape)
Lineage: Eukaryota; Viridiplantae; Streptophyta; Magnoliopsida; Vitales; Vitaceae
Exons: 2
Source: RefSeq, a predicted model, not a curated record